GCGCCAUUAGCAUUGGCUGGAUAGAGCGUCGGUCUACGGAACCGAAGGCUAGAGGUUCGAACCCCCUAUGGCGCU
RNAcentral lists this transfer RNA (75 nucleotides) under Clostridia bacterium. RNAcentral's name for it is "tRNA-Arg". It matches the Rfam family "tRNA". From Rfam's summary of the family: Transfer RNA (tRNA) molecules are approximately 80 nucleotides in length. Their secondary structure includes four short double-helical elements and three loops (D, anti-codon, and T loops). Lineage: Bacteria; Bacillati; Bacillota; Clostridia. The record is from RNAcentral.